AACGAACGCUGGCGGCAUGCCUAACACAUGCAAGUCGAACGAAGGCUUCGGCCUUAGUGGCGCACGGGUGCGUAACGCGUGGGAAUCUGCCCUUAGGUUCGGAAUAACAGCUGGAAACGGCUGCUAAUACCGGAUGAUAUCGCGAGAUCAAAGAUUUAUCGCCUGAGGAUGAGCCCGCGUUGGAUUAGGUAGUUGGUGGGGUAAAGGCCUACCAAGCCGACGAUCCAUAGCUGGUCUGAGAGGAUGAUCAGCCACACUGGGACUGAGACACGGCCCAGAC
This 280-nucleotide ribosomal RNA is filed under the name uncultured bacterium. Its description in RNAcentral is "partial 16S ribosomal RNA". It matches the Rfam family "Bacterial small subunit ribosomal RNA", at positions 29 to 336 of the family's 1533-position model. The record is from RNAcentral.